RNAcentral lists this ribosomal RNA (392 nucleotides) under uncultured Glomus. Its description in RNAcentral is "SSU rRNA". It matches the Rfam family "Eukaryotic small subunit ribosomal RNA", at positions 569 to 966 of the family's 1831-position model. Lineage: Eukaryota; Fungi; Glomeromycota; Glomeromycetes; Glomerales; Glomeraceae. The record is from RNAcentral.
AGCAGCCGCGGUAAUUCCAGCUCCAAUAGCGUAUAUUAAAGUUGUUGCAGUUAAAAAGCUCGUAGUUGAAUUUCGGGAUCAAUACGUCGGUCGUGCCUUCGGUACGUACUGGCGUCAUUGGUUUCUCCCUUCUGACGAACCAUGAUGUCAUUAAUUUGGUGUUAUGGGAAGUUAGGACUGUUACUUUGAAAAAUUAGAGUGUUUAAAGCAGGCAUUAGCUUGAAUACAUUAGCAUGGAAUAAUGAAAUAGGAUGUUCGAACCUAUUUUGUUGGUUUCUAGGAUCAACGUAAUGAUUAAUAGGGAUAGUUGGGGGCAUUAGUGUUCAAUUGUCAGAGGUGAAAUUCUUGGAUUUAUUGAAGACUAACUACUGCGAAAGCAUUUGCCAAGGAUG